This 489-nucleotide ribosomal RNA is filed under the name uncultured bacterium. RNAcentral's name for it is "partial 16S ribosomal RNA". It matches the Rfam family "Bacterial small subunit ribosomal RNA", at positions 30 to 506 of the family's 1533-position model. The record is from RNAcentral.
AUUGAACGCUGGCGGCAGGCUUAACACAUGCAAGUCGAGCGGUAACAGAGAGAAGCUUGCUUCUCUGCUGACGAGCGGCGGACGGGUGAGUAAUGCCUAGGAAUCUGCCUAGUAGUGGGGGAUAACUUGCCGAAAGGUAAGCUAAUACCGCAUACGUCCUACGGGAGAAAGGAGGGGACCUUCGGGCCUUUCGCUAUUAGAUGAGCCUAGGUCGGAUUAGUUAGUUGGUGAGGUAAUGGCUCACCAAGACCGCGAUCCGUAACUGGUCUGAGAGGAUGAUCAGUCACACUGGAAAUGAGAGACGGUACAGACUCCUACGGGAGGCAGGAGGGGGGAAAAUUGGAAAAUGGGGGGAACCCUGAUCCAGCCAGGCCGGGGGUGGGAAGAAGGUCUUAGGAUUGUAAAGCACUUUAAGUGGGGGGGAAGGGCAGUUAAAUAAUAUUUGACUGUUUUGACGUUACCGAAAGAAUAAGCACCGGCUAACUUCGU